AUACGGAGGAUCCGAGCGUUAUCCGGAUUUAUUGGGUUUAAAGGGUGCGCAGGCGGCCAUUUAAGUCAGCGGUUAAAUCGUGGGGCUCAACCCCAUUCUGCCGUUGAUACUGGGUGGCUUGAUUGCGGUCGAGGUUGGCGGAAUUCGUUGUGUAGCGGUGAAAUGCAUAGAUAUGACGAAGAACACCGAUUGCGUAGGCAGCUGACCAGACCGCAAAUGACGCUCAUGCACGAAAGUGCGGGGAUCGAACAGGAUUAGAUACCCUGGUAGUCCGCACAGUAAACGUUGAAUACUUGUUUUCGGCGAUAUAAUGUCGGAGGCAAAGCGAAAGCGAUAAGUAUUCCACCUGGGGAGUACGCCGGCAACGGUGAAACUCAAAUGAAUUGACGGGG
RNAcentral lists this ribosomal RNA (392 nucleotides) under uncultured bacterium. RNAcentral's name for it is "partial 16S ribosomal RNA". It matches the Rfam family "Bacterial small subunit ribosomal RNA", at positions 523 to 918 of the family's 1533-position model. The record is from RNAcentral.